Molecule: non-coding RNA, 422 nt
Organism: Python bivittatus (Burmese python)
Lineage: Eukaryota; Metazoa; Chordata; Lepidosauria; Squamata; Pythonidae
Source: RefSeq, a predicted model, not a curated record
AGCGGGGAGCAGUAGAGUAGGACUUCUUGGAGGACUCUAGAGCGGCAGGAGCAGGCCGAGGCCGAUGAUGUCGGAAAAGAAGCAACCCGUGGAUCUGGGGCUUCUAGAGGAAGACGACGAAUUCGAGGAGUUUCCUGCCGAAGAUUGGGCUGGUUUAGAUGAAGAUGAAGAUGCACAUGUGUGGGAAGAUAAUUGGGAUGAUGAUAAUGUGGAAGAUGAUUUCUCUAAUCAAUUAAGAGCGGAACUGGAAAAGCAUUGCUACAAGAUGGAAACCACAUAGCUUCCAAUGGUGUUUCAAUUUGUGUAAAUUGACUGUAAAUUUAAUACUGAUAUAUGGAAUGGAAGAUGGAUUGAAGACUGUUCGUUGCGAUCCUAAAUUUUGUUUGUUUUCUAUAAAUAAAAAGUUGAAUCUUCUUGUUAUA